GUUGUCGAUCGUGUCAGAGCUCUCGACCUCGAGAGUGAUCGUCUUUCCGGUAAGCGUCUUAACGAAGAUUUGCAUCCCGCCGCGCAAACGAAGGACAAGGUGGAGAGUUGACUCCUUCUGGAUGUUGUAGUCGGCCAAGGUACGGCCGUCUUCGAGUUGUUUUCCGGCGAAGAUGAGACGUUGCUGGUCUGGGGGGAUGCCUUCCUUGUCUUGGAUCUUCGCCUUAACGUUGUCGAUCGUGUCGGAGCUCUCGACCUCGAGAGUGAUUGUCUUGCCG
RNAcentral lists this long non-coding RNA (277 nucleotides) under Gossypium raimondii (Peruvian cotton). RNAcentral describes it as "long non-coding RNA (GRAI_LNC008790)". The record is from RNAcentral. Lineage: Eukaryota; Viridiplantae; Streptophyta; Magnoliopsida; Malvales; Malvaceae.